Molecule: ribosomal RNA, 253 nt
Filed under: uncultured bacterium
Lineage: Bacteria
Description: partial 16S ribosomal RNA
Rfam family: Bacterial small subunit ribosomal RNA
Source: RNAcentral
UACAGAGACUGCGAGCGUUAUUCGGAUUCACUGGGCGUAAAGGGUGCGCAGGUGGCUAGGUGUGUUAGGCGUGAAAGCCCGGGGCUUAACCCCGGAAUUGCACCUAAAACUACUUGGCUAGAGCAUUGGAGAGGGGAGCAGAAUUCAUGGUGUAGCAGUGAAAUGCGUAGAUAUGCGGAGGAACACCGAUGGCGAAGGCAAUCCCCUGGGCCUGCACUGACGCUCAUGCACGAAAGCGUGGGGAGCAAACAGG